Long non-coding RNA from Acanthaster planci (crown-of-thorns starfish), 1486 nucleotides. RefSeq lists it as uncharacterized. NCBI's taxonomy places the organism in Eukaryota, Metazoa, Echinodermata, Asteroidea, Valvatida, Acanthasteridae. The record is from RefSeq and is a predicted model, not a curated record.
GGUCAAAUGUACUAUGUCUCAGCAGCUCGCUCAACGUUCAACAGGCGAGCAUCAGCAUACAUGUAAAUGUACAUGCGGCUGGGCUAGUAUAAUACACCUAAAAACUCCCCAGUUAUCUUCUAGCUUCCAUGUAUUUAUCUGGGCACCAUGGUUGAAUUCAAAGAUCCAAAUUCACCAGUCCAGGAAGGCUUCGACAACCGUGUUUUUAUUAUACCGGCAAUUAUUAUAGUGUCGCUUAUUGGAUUUGUAGUCUACAAACUUGCAUCCAGUGUUCGAGGACGCGAGAAGGCCCGGAAAGAGAAAAAGAUGCGGAAACUGGAGAAGAAAACCAGAUGACAUCCCCCAGGAUCCAGCUCUACCUUCAGCCCUCGUGAAGAAAUCAUUCAAAGAAUCAGUGCUUUAUAACAUCGUCUGUCAACGUGUGUUUACAGAUCUUGCUGCCAAAUCAUGAGUAUAGUCUUUGUGGUGUAUUGCUGUUUAAGCUAAGCAUCAUUAUCGGGAUAAAUUCUGCACCAGUAUCUCGCAAGGCCAGCAUGUAUGGAUGCUUUAAGGAUAUAUACAUGUACAGUGUACAUGGUCAGCCCACCGUAUGCUGUGAAAACCGAAAAACCAAGCCAAGAACUUGCUAGUUGCACCUGCAAUAGAUAGUCUUAUCAGCUGUCAUCAGACUUAAUACCCACCUAGUAUUGGUGCAGGUUGAGUUUUGUGGUGGCAGAACAAACAAAUAUCCCUCGGUUCCUCAAAACCAACUGAACUGAACUGAACUGUGUGAUUACUGCAAUGCACUGCACUACUGCCUGUGCAGCAUCUGAAGUGGAAAAGUGUGUUGCAACUGAACCGCACCUUGCAGUGGAGAUUAUUCCAGACCAGUUUCCGACCUGGGAACCCUAGCCAUCCUCAGUCCUCCAAAAUCCGCUGGGCUGUUUUGAAGGAUUUUAGAAGUUUGAGGGUGCAUGCAAUUUUGAGGUUGUUGUAAAUGGAGGAUUUUGAAGGAUUGAGGGUGUUUCCUAACCAAAAAGGCCCAGGCAGUUAGUGGUGAUUCAUACCUUCUAACUUUCUUAAAGCUUUCUGUAAUUCUGUGGUCUAGUUUCAGAUUUUUCUUAAUUUUUUUUUUUUAAUUCAGAGUGUGUUCCAUUUAACAUGUUUAAGCAAGGGAUAUAUUCAAACACGCAAAACAUGACAGGUCUUCUUGUAAUCACACAUACAUGUAUAAGCAGUAUUCAAUAUGGAGUGGGUUAUUUCGGACUCCCGAGAUAGUGUGGUCACUCCUUCAUGUAUACAUGUACAGGGCUGCCUACUUUCGAGCAUUGCUCCUAAGACUUGUACUUUUUUGAAUUAUUCUUACUUUCUUAUAUCCGAUAGGGGAUCUCUCGUGCAGAAAAAAUUAAGGAUGUACAAAUUUAAAUUUGUAAAGUAAUUCCAUGUCCUGUCUUAACAUUCCAUGGUCUAAAAGCUCACUUCUGGUAAAGGGGAACGAUUUGAUUGA